Molecule: transfer RNA, 70 nt
Filed under: Pachypanchax playfairii (golden panchax)
Lineage: Eukaryota; Metazoa; Chordata; Actinopteri; Cyprinodontiformes; Aplocheilidae
Description: tRNA-Ile
Rfam family: tRNA
About the family: Transfer RNA (tRNA) molecules are approximately 80 nucleotides in length. Their secondary structure includes four short double-helical elements and three loops (D, anti-codon, and T loops).
Source: RNAcentral
GGAGUUAUGCCUGAAUUAAAGGAUUACUUUGAUAGAGUAAACAAUGAAGGUUAGACUCCUUCUAACUCCU